This 229-nucleotide unclassified non-coding RNA is filed under the name Hevea brasiliensis (rubber tree). The record is from RNAcentral. Lineage: Eukaryota; Viridiplantae; Streptophyta; Magnoliopsida; Malpighiales; Euphorbiaceae.
GAAAUGGGUCAAUGACCCGACCCGUCAGGUUAUGGCAGCUGCGGGUGUCAGAAGGCAGUAAGAGAGCAGGCAGCAGGAAGCGACGCCCGGGAAGGUCCGAAUGACAAAUAUAGUUACUCUCAGGAGGGUAACUUUUCUGGUUUGGAUUGACCUGAACGAAUCUAAAGAUCCACCGAGUUUCAAGUGACCGGACAGGCACCAUUGAACUCAUUUCAAGCCAACGAGGGGA